UAUCCGAAGAGCUCGCGAUAAACAGGGGAACGGUCUCCAAUGGUGAUAUGUAGCUGCAGCAGAUGAUAUAGCCUGCAUCAUGGAAGAAAAAUGAAUGUAGUCACGGAUUGCAAAAACGAUGUCUAGUCUUGCGUUCAAAUGUAUCAUUGAAUGAAGCCUGCAUUUACUGUAUGAAUUCGAUAUUUACAGCUGAGGCAAUUUAGCUGCUAGCUAGGUCAAGUAAGCUCGAUGCUAAUUCGUUUAUUAGCCAGUGGAUGUUAGGAAUCAGGCUAGCUGACGCUAACUAGCAUGCUAGUUAACCAAUCCCGCCCAUCCAAAAUAAUAGUGGAACUUCGGCGUGUAUCUUCAGCGCGGUUAUCAAUGCCUUUUUGAAGAAAGAAGAAAUAGCUAAGCCAGUUAGCUAUCUAGCAAGCAUAUGAGAAGGUAUUGCAUUGAGAUUUCACCCAAUUUCCUCCACUUGAAGAAAACUGAACUGGCUGAGAUGGAUGAACAAAGUGUUGAGAGUAUUGCGGAGGUGUUUCGUUGUUUCAUCUGUAUGGAGAAGCUGCGGGACGCUCGGCUCUGCCCCCACUGCUCCAAACUCUGCUGUUUCAGCUGCAUAAGGCGCUGGUUGACCGAGCAGAGAGCCCAAUGCCCACACUGUCGGGCACCACUGCAGCUGCGGGAGCUGGUGAACUGCCGUUGGGUUGAGGAAGUUACCCAGCAGCUGGACACCCUGCAGCUCUGCAACCUCUCCAAACACGAGGAGAACGACAAGGACAAGUGUGAGAACCACCAUGAGAAGCUCAGUGUGUUCUGCUGGACCUGUAAGAAGUGCAUCUGCCACCAGUGUGCUCUGUGGGGAGGCAUGCAUGGAGGCCACACCUUCAAGCCUCUGGCUGAGAUCUACGAGCAGCACGUGACCAAGGUGAACGAGGAGGUGGCCAAGCUCCGCCGACGCCUCAUGGAACUUAUCAGCCUGGUGCAGGAAGUGGAGAGGAAUGUGGAAGCAGUGCGAGGGGCCAAGGACGAGCGAGUGCGAGAGAUCCGUAAUGCAGUAGAGAUGAUGAUCGCCCGUCUGGACAACCAGCUCAAGAACAAACUCCUCACCCUCAUGGGUCAGAAGACCUCCCUCACCCAGGAGACGGAGCUACUGGAGUCUCUCCUACAAGAGGUGGAACAUCAGCUGCGCUCCUGCAGUAAGAGCGAGUUGAUCUCCAAGAGCCCAGAGAUCCUGCUCAUGUUCCAGCAGGUUCACCGCAAGCCCAUGCAGUCGUUUGUUACCACCCCAGUCCCCCCAGACUUCACCAGUGAGCUGGUUCCUGCCUAUGACUCAAGCACUUUCGUUCUGGAAAACUUCAGCACCCUGAGACAAAGGGCAGAUCCAGUCUACAGCCCACCACUCCAGAUAUCUGGCCUUUGCUGGAGACUCAAGGUUUACCCAGAUGGCAACGGUGUGGUGCGGGGCAAUUACCUGUCAGUUUUCUUGGAACUGUCUGCAGGACUCCCUGAAACGUCGAAGUACGAGUACCGCGUGGAGAUGGUCCACCAGGCCUCCAGCGACCCCACUAAGAACAUCAUCAGGGAGUUUGCAUCAGACUUUGAGGUGGGGGAGUGCUGGGGAUACAACCGCUUCUUCAGACUGGACCUGCUGGCCAGUGAGGGCUACCUCAACAUGCAGACUGACACUCUAGUCCUCAGGUACCAGGUGCGUUCGCCCACCUUCUUCCAGAAGUGCAGAGACCAAUACUGGUACAUCAGCCAGCUGGAGUCAGCCCAGUCCAGCUACAUCCAGCAGAUCAACAAUCUCAAAGAGAGGCUGGCCAUUGAGCUGAUCUGUAGGCAGCAGUCUCGCAGCUCGUCCCCUCCUAACCGGCGUCUGGGCCCCUCGACCUCGGAGAGAGACUCCCACUCAGGGAAAGGCCCCGUGGCUGAGGACAGCUGCCAGACCACUGAGACCAAAGAGGAGGAGGAAGAGAAGACUCAACAUGAUGACUCCAAUGAGCUGUCUGACGGGGAUUUGGAGGUGGACUGUCUGACGGGGGAUGAGGAGGUGAACCCUCUGGAUGGCAGCAGCACCUCUGGCAGCUCCACGGCAACCAGCAACACCGAGGAGAACGACAUCGACGAGGAGACCAUGUCUGGGGAGAAUGAUGUGGAGUUCAGUAGGAACCUGGAGAUGGAGGAGGGAGAACUGCCUGUUGACGUGGCAGGAGCAGCAGGAAGCUCUAACCCCGGGGCCAGGUGUCUGAGGCGUGGUGGAGGUCUCUCCUCCACUGGCAGCAACAACAGUUUGCUAGAAAUCGACCCUGUCAUCCUCAUCCAGCUACUGGAUCUGAAGGAGCGCAGCAGUGUGGAGUCCCUGUGGGGCCUUCAACCCAGACCCCCUGCCUCCCUGCUGCACAGCCAAGUCCAAGUCCACUCCAGGAAGGAGCGGGGUGAGCGCAGGCCUCAGACAGUGCGGCGGGGAGCCCCAGACUCUGGGGUCCUGAUUCGGCUCAAGGCACAGAUGGCCGAGGUGCGCAGUAAGAUGUCGGAUGUCAAGUGUCAGCUGGAGGCACGGGGAGAGACCAAGGCAGGGCCCUCCAGCGGGGCCACAGGGGUGGAGCAGGGGCCCUCUUACCACUCAGAGCUAGGGCCCAGCAGGAAGUCCAUAGAGCUAGAUCUGAUGGGGAAAGGACCCGGGGUCUCCAGACACUGUCGCUCUGGAGGGAAGAAGGCCUCAUCUCCCAAGCAGGAUGGGAGCAGGCUGGGCCUAAGGAGGGCUGCAGACGUAGUUGAGAAGGAGCUGAGAGGCCAGAGCGGUGGAGAGUCGUCCAGCGACCAAAGCCUCUUUCCCAGGGGCACCUCCAACGUAUCAGAGGGAGCCCUGAAGCCACGCAGCGCCCACAGCUCCCCUCCCUAUCUGGGCAGCUCGUCAUCCUGCUCCGAAAACAAACCCUGCAGCUCCAAACACGACCAGGAGCAGCUCUACGGGUCCGACCUGUACGCUCUGGAGGUCCUCAGCGGCAUCUCCACCGCCACCAUGACACGACCCAGGACCAAGCCCAUGGGGGCCGGCCUGCUGACGGACAGCUCUCUGGACUGGGACUCCGAGCCGGCUGAGAUCCACCAGUCACUGCUCUCCCUGGCAGAGGAACCCUCUUCAUGCCCCAACGAAGCAUUACUCCUAAUGAACUCUGGGAUGAGUCCGUGUCUGUAGGGAGAGCGAGUGGGUGUCUACUUGGCACUGGUGGUGUUUCCCUUACCUGUCAUGUUGUCCAGAAGCGGACGGUGGUACUGCUGCCAGGUAUGAGUAGUGAUAGUGAGAUCGACUGUGACACGGAGAACGAGGACGAGGUGGUGGCCCUGGAGGCUGGAGAUUGUCGCUACGACACCCCGGCACUGCCCUGCGCAGGGGACCAGUUGAUCUCUGACCUAAGCUUCACCACAGGAGAGAGGUGAUUCCCCUCCAAUUUGGACACCACAGCCGGUCUAAACAGUGGCAAUUGCUGUGUGGGAACUGGAUCGUAGUGUAUAUAACUUUAAUGCACAUGAGCAUUUGUGUAGACACUUGCAUGCUCUCAUUCUAGUCACUGACAACCCCAAAUGCUACGAGAAUGCUACAACUCAUUAAAUAAGCACCUUGAUGAUGACGACUAACUGCAAAAUGUGUCACAAUAUAUUUGGUCACAUUCAUUAAUCUUUUCAUUUAAAUGUAAAUUUUAUGAAAUAUGAGUAUGGGGCGAUGAACAAUAUAUUUGCGAGAGACAUAUAUUUCUUAGGCUGUUGGUGUGAACGAAAAUAUGGAGUUAUAAUAUCUAACUAAUGAGGUCAUGGUUAACGUUUGCAAUGUCUACAUACUCAGAUUGGGCUUUGGUCUGGGCAUUAUGAGCUAAGGUGAAUUUUUAGAAAGAAGCACGGGGCACCUGCUUCACAACAGAAAGAGAACAUCAGAAGCUCUCUGCCUUUCUGAUUCAAUGAGGUGCUAUUGAUGUAUUUGUGUGGAGGAGCACAGUCAGGCAGGUAUCACACAGUGCUGUGAUGAACAUUCAAUUCUGGUUAACAGUCUAAACAAAUGCCUUGAAAUGAAGUGGACACAUUUACAACCUUAAUUCCUGUAUCAACAUCGCUUAAAACGUGUUAGGAACCCUUUACGUUAACUGAAGGAAAGGCGGGGCUGAAACAUGAGGAAAAUUUGCCCAAAGUCCCCUCUGUGUAAAUCUUGUCAAUGUAAACUACUGUAUUUCAUCAACUUCUCCCGUUAGAUUGGAGUUGCUUUCCCCCCCGGUAAAUUGUUCAGAACAAGAACCAGUUUUGCUGCUGUGUAGACAGACAUUGAAGAGUGGAUCAAUGGUACGUCCUCUGGCCUGUGUAAAAGAUUGCUACAUUUUGAUUUAGUAUUGAGUGAAUUCUUAGUAGGGAAAUAGGCAUGACUCUUGCUCACAGUAUUGAGUGGAUUCUGACUGAAUUGAUUAUUAACAAUUCUUGAUUGACGGUCUGGGCUUCAAGUGCUCUUUGACCUUGUCUCUUCAUUGCACAUCAAAGCUGACAUACAUUAUUCGUACAUACAGGGUCCUUUCUUUCAUGAAGAAGUGUUUUCUGCAGCUCUUGUCAAGAUGAGCUCUGUAACAUAGGCACAUGUGUAGGUGUUUUGAGUUUUCUUCCCUGAUGGCAUUUGUGUCCACCCUGUAAUUUCCAUCUUCACUCUUUCCUUGUGCUGUGUGAGCAACUCCUCCCAGUUCAGCUGUUCUGCUUGACUUUGAAAAAUGGGUCCAAACAAAUUCACCGGUUUUGACUUCUAUGAAGCAGAUGCAACUCAGUGGAUUCCUUUCCCUAUUCAAACAUGGUCUUAAAUGGAUUCAAAUGUUACAUUCCAUCUUCUUGGGUUUAGAUUGAUUUGACUGAGUUAAUAUUAUUAAAUUAAUUUGACUGACACGUGUGUAAAUAAGUGUUUGUUUUGUACAAAAACUCCCCAACAAUGAUGUGAAUAUUUUUCUUGAAAGCGUGUAAUUGGACCCAUUUACCUUUUGAAUUCAGAGGGUGCCAUUUCUGCCUUAAAGUUUAGCUUUGCUCUGUGACUGUGGACCAUUUUAUUGCUUUCAACCCUUAAAAUGAAUCUAAAGACCACACUAGCGUCCCCAUGGACAUCAUAAUAGAAGCUGUAGUUGCUUUUUGCACCAUGGAGAACAAUGAACACUGACAGACCGUUCAUUGAAAAAAGUGGGGACCCAACCGACUCUGUAAACAUUUUCUAUCCCUUAUCCCUUGAAAGGGAGAUGUGUAAGAUGUCUCAAAGUAUACUAAUGUGCAUUGACUAAUAAGGAAAUAUGUUCUAAAUGCCUGAGUGGAGAGCUGAGUGGUUAACGCUGUUAAUCUUCCUAUGUCAGCUAUAGGAUGCCUGACGCUAAACCCACAGCUACACAUCUUCCUAAUGUUCCAUCGUGUGCCUAAAAUCACAUGGCUUUAAUAGGGUUGAACAGGCAGACAGUGUGGAAAAUAUGUGUAAAACCUCUUGUGCCCUUGAAAGGGUGUUUGUAUAUACAGCUCGAGACUCAUCCUGAUAUGGUCUUGUGUCUAUAUCGAUUUCUGUGUUGUGUGUGUAUACACUGCACAUUUGUUACUGCCCAGGUUUGAGGUGUGUGUGUGUGUGUGUGUGUGUGUGUGUGUGUGUGUGUGUGUGUGUGUACACUGCACAUUUCUCUUACUGCCCAGGGUUGAGGUGUGUGUGUGUGUACACUGCACAUUUCUUACUGCCCAGGUUUGAGGUGUGUGUGUUACUGAGUGGGAAAGGGCUGGCUGAGGAAAGGCACUAGAAAGGUGAUUAGAUGUUUUUGAGUGUUCAUGCUUUCCUUUGUUGUGUCUGAGUGUUUAUUUUGUAUUGUCCCAGAAUGCAGUGGGAAUUUAUGUUGAAUGUCUGUCUUUUUUUAAUUCAUUUUUUGUACUUAUAUAAUAUGACAUGAACAAAUUAAAAUAUUGUUUGGUUUCUUGAA
Molecule: non-coding RNA, 5951 nt
Organism: Salmo salar (Atlantic salmon)
Lineage: Eukaryota; Metazoa; Chordata; Actinopteri; Salmoniformes; Salmonidae
Source: RefSeq, a predicted model, not a curated record